AAUAAACAUUGGAUAACAGAAAAUGUACAUUAGAUGACACCAAGGAAAAGUCCAGAUAAUCGACAAAACAUUUCAUAAGGUCCUAACAAAGGACCAGCAGCUUACUACAUGCAAUGCGUACUAAUUUCAUAUAUGGCAUGCAUUCAUCAAAAUGGGCAUUUGGGGAAAAAACAGAGCAUUGCAAAUUUAGGUAAUACUGUGCUAGCACUCUCAAAAACAGUGGUCGGAAAGUAAUAACACCAAUAACAGUCACAUGCAUCAGCUUUUUUCUAACCUCUCAAGCACCAUC
Rhodamnia argentea is the source of this 289-nucleotide long non-coding RNA. RefSeq lists it as uncharacterized. The record is from RefSeq and is a predicted model, not a curated record. Lineage: Eukaryota; Viridiplantae; Streptophyta; Magnoliopsida; Myrtales; Myrtaceae. The transcript has 2 exons.